Molecule: transfer RNA, 73 nt
Filed under: Capra hircus (goat)
Lineage: Eukaryota; Metazoa; Chordata; Mammalia; Artiodactyla; Bovidae
Also listed under: 1 other name
Rfam family: tRNA
About the family: Transfer RNA (tRNA) molecules are approximately 80 nucleotides in length. Their secondary structure includes four short double-helical elements and three loops (D, anti-codon, and T loops).
Source: Rfam by way of RNAcentral
UCCCUGGUGGUCCAGUGGUUAGGAUUCUGCACUUUCACUGCCGAAGGCCUGGGUUCAAUCCCUGAUCUGGGAA